Molecule: ribosomal RNA, 438 nt
Filed under: uncultured bacterium
Lineage: Bacteria
Description: bacterial SSU rRNA
Rfam family: Bacterial small subunit ribosomal RNA
Source: RNAcentral
GAUGAACGCUGGCGGUAUGCCUAACACAUGCAAGUCGUACGAGAGUUUUUAACUCUAGUGGCGGACGGGUGAGUAACACGUGAGAAUUUGCCUUUAGGAGGGGGAUAACAAUUGGAAACGAAUGCUAAUACCCCAUAUGCUUUUGAGUGAAACGGAUUUAUCCGCCUAGAGAGAAGCUCGCGGCUGAUUAGCUUGUUGGUAAGGUAAGAGCUUACCAAGGCGACGAUCAGUAUCUGGUUUGAGAGGAUGAUCAGUCACACUGGAACUGAGACACGGUCCAGACUCCUACGGGAGGCAGCAGUGGGGAAUAUUGCACAAUGGACGAAAGUCUGAUGCAGCAACGCCGCGUGGAGGAUGACACAUUUCGGUNCGUAAAACUCCUUUUAUAUAGGAAGAUAAUGACGGUACUAUAUGAAUAAGCAACCGGCUAACUCCGUG